UAUAUACUCCCUCCGUCCGAAAAUACUUGUCAUCAAAAUAGAUAAAAAAGGAUGAAUCUAGACGUAUUUUAGUUCUAAAUACAUCUCUUUCUAUCUAUUUUGAUGACAUGUAUUUUCGGACGGAGGAAGUAUGAG
Molecule: non-coding RNA, 135 nt
Organism: Triticum aestivum (bread wheat)
Lineage: Eukaryota; Viridiplantae; Streptophyta; Magnoliopsida; Poales; Poaceae
Source: Rfam